GUAGGGGGCCAGCGUUGUUCGGAAUUACUGGGUGUAAAGGGUUCGUAGGCGGUGCGGCAAGUCGGGAGUGAAAUCUCUGGGCUCAACCCAGAGACUGCUUCCGAAACUGCUGUGCUUGAGUGUGGGAGAGGCGCGUGGAAUUGCAGGUGUAGCGGUGAAAUGCGUAGAUAUCUGCAGGAACACCCGUGGCGAAAGCGGCGCGCUGGACCACUACUGACGCUGAAGAACGAAAGCUAGGGGAGCAAACAGGAUUAGAUACCCUGGUAGUCCUAGCCCUAAACGAUCAGGACUUGGGGUGCCACCCGUUCGGGUGGCGUCCCGGAGCUAGCGCGUUAAGUCCUGCACCUGGGGAGUACGGUCGCAAGACUG
Molecule: ribosomal RNA, 369 nt
Filed under: uncultured bacterium
Lineage: Bacteria
Description: bacterial SSU rRNA
Rfam family: Bacterial small subunit ribosomal RNA
Source: RNAcentral